This 556-nucleotide ribosomal RNA is filed under the name uncultured Glomus. Its description in RNAcentral is "SSU rRNA". It matches the Rfam family "Eukaryotic small subunit ribosomal RNA", at positions 548 to 1103 of the family's 1831-position model. The record is from RNAcentral. Lineage: Eukaryota; Fungi; Glomeromycota; Glomeromycetes; Glomerales; Glomeraceae.
UUGGAGGGCAAGUCUGGUGCCAGCAGCCGCGGUAAUUCCAGCUCCAAUAGCGUAUAUUAAAGUUGUUGCAGUUAAAAAGCUCGUAGUUGAACUUCGGGAUUCACCCAUUGGUCAGGCUUAAUUGUCUGUACUGGUGAGAUGAGUCUCUACCUUCUGAGGAACUUUCAUGCCAUUUGUUUGGUGUGAUUGGAAAUCAGGACUGUUACUUUGAAAAAAUUAGAGUGUUUAAAGCAGGCUAACGUCUGAAUACAUUAGCAUGGAAUAAUGAAAUAGGACGGAUUGAUUCUAUUUCGUUGGUUUCUAGGGUCACCGUAAUGAUUAAUAGGGAUAGUUGGGGGCAUUAGUAUUCAAUUGUCAGAGGUGAAAUUCUUGGAUUUAUUGAAGACUAACUACUGCGAAAGCAUUUGCCAAGGAUGUUUUCAUCAAUCAAGAACGAAAGUUAGGGGAUCGAAGACGAUCAGAUACCGUCGUAGUCUUAACCAUAAACUAUGCCGACUAGGGAUCGGACGCAGUUAAUUUUAUAAUGACGUGUUCGGCACCUUACGGGAAACCAAAG